AGUGAGGAUAGAGGUGCAAUGUUCAUGAUUACACCGUUUGAGGAUGAUGAGAUCCAGGGAAGAUGGUGGAAAGGGGGCAUUGCCGAAGCCACAGAAAUCUCAUAUUUUCUGUAGCUGGUUCUGCUAUUGAAUAAAUACAGGACUGUCAUAUAGGAAACUAUAUGGAGGGCUAUCUGACGC
Molecule: regulatory RNA element, 180 nt
Rfam family: Lysine riboswitch aptamer
About the family: Riboswitches are metabolite binding domains within certain messenger RNAs that serve as precision sensors for their corresponding targets.
Source: Rfam